Non-coding RNA from Paramuricea clavata, 882 nucleotides. Lineage: Eukaryota; Metazoa; Cnidaria; Anthozoa; Malacalcyonacea; Plexauridae. The record is from the annotation of a GenBank genome assembly.
AUUUUAAACAUGAUGAAAAUUUCUGUGUUGCUGGUUGUUGUUCUAUUUGGGCUCGUAUGCAGUCGUUCAGUGCCUGUUAGUGGUAUGUACUACUAUGUUGCUUUAUGUAUUUAUGUAGUUUUACUUUAAGGAGACCAAGCUUUCGUUGGUAGGAAUGCAACUACCUGAAAAAUAUAACGAGAAUUUCGACGUAUCGAGGGAAAGCCCUUCCUUUGGAGUACGUCAAGGGGACCCCCCCUUUCAAAUUAAGCUGAGUUUAAACUCAGUUCCGAGCGAAAACAUGCACUUGAAAAUUGUGUCAAAUUAUAAACCAGCCGUAAUUACAUAAAAAAUGCAGGGCGCAAUAAUUAAUCAGCGUUAGGAUUAAAGGAAUACCGAAUGGUUUUCCUUGCAGGAUUUCGUGAUCCAUGCACGAGGGAUGUCGCGAGGCUUUCGGAAAGCGUAAAUACUCGAGCCGCAGGCGAGUGUAUUCAGUUACGCUUUCCAAAAGUCGAACAACAUCCCAAGUGCAUGCAUCAUGCUAUUCUGCUUGGUAAGUCAUUUGGCAAUUGUUUUUAUAAAAUAACUACAGUGAAAAAUGACAUUUCGCGAAGGCAUUUUAAUUCCUCGUGCAGGAUAGCCUGAUCCUGCACGACUUACGAUUAUUGGCUAUUGCGUGUUUCACUGUAGUUAUUAUAUGACGAGUUUUACCUGUUCUAUGCUACCUUUUGGACUAUGAUAUAGAUAAGUGGUUGGAUGGCGCGCCAACGAAAGCGAAUGGAACCUCGAGUAGAACCUGCAAAGGUUAUCACAUUGAAUGCACAACGAGCGCUGAAUGCUGCCACCAAUAUCAUUGUUCUUCACCUUACUCAAGCUCAAGUAAGUUAAUUAGAUAAUCAAAGA